This 71-nucleotide transfer RNA is filed under the name Paramesotriton qixilingensis. RNAcentral's name for it is "tRNA-Gln". It matches the Rfam family "tRNA". From Rfam's summary of the family: Transfer RNA (tRNA) molecules are approximately 80 nucleotides in length. Their secondary structure includes four short double-helical elements and three loops (D, anti-codon, and T loops). The record is from RNAcentral. Lineage: Eukaryota; Metazoa; Chordata; Amphibia; Caudata; Salamandridae.
UAAAAGAUAGUGUAGUGGGUGCACGAGGGGUUUUGAUCCUCUAGGGGCAGGUUCAAGUCCUGUUUUUUUAG